GUCGUUGACCCCCAGAGGCGUAGUUGGAGGGGAGGAGACUUGAGACGGUCCAUUUGGGCUUCCGUUGCUGGACAUGGUGCUCCGACCAGACCAACUCCCUACCUGGGUCAGCGUUGAUUGAGGUGAGCCGGACAGUACCCAAGCCUUCUGCAAAACCAAAAUUAAAAAAAAAAGAAAAAAUACAACACAGGACCGAGAAAUCAGAACAUGAACAAACCUAAAUCACUUUUUAAGCCCAAGUGAAGGAAAAGAAAAAAAAAUAAACAAAUACCUCAUGAUUUUUCUGCGCAGGGGUGAUUUUGUGGGCUUCGUGGAGAGCUAACUGGCGAGUUAACUCAGUAAGCAGCAAGUCAUCCUCGUCGCUCUCGGUUUCGGUGGAGCCAACAACAGAUUCAACAGGGGAGCUGAGAACAGA
RNAcentral lists this long non-coding RNA (415 nucleotides) under Coffea arabica (coffee). RNAcentral describes it as "long non-coding RNA (CARA_LNC001516)". The record is from RNAcentral. Lineage: Eukaryota; Viridiplantae; Streptophyta; Magnoliopsida; Gentianales; Rubiaceae.